RNAcentral lists this transfer RNA (77 nucleotides) under Spirobacillus cienkowskii. RNAcentral describes it as "tRNA-Glu". It matches the Rfam family "tRNA". From Rfam's summary of the family: Transfer RNA (tRNA) molecules are approximately 80 nucleotides in length. Their secondary structure includes four short double-helical elements and three loops (D, anti-codon, and T loops). Further hydrogen bonds mediate the characteristic L-shaped molecular structure. tRNAs have two regions of fundamental functional importance: the anti-codon, which is responsible for specific mRNA codon recognition, and the 3' end, to which the tRNAs corresponding amino acid is attached (by aminoacyl-tRNA synthetases). tRNAs cope with the degeneracy of the genetic code in two manners: having more than one tRNA (with a specific anti-codon) for a particular amino acid; and 'wobble' base-pairing, i.e. permitting non-standard base-pairing at the 3rd anti-codon position. Lineage: Bacteria; Pseudomonadati; Bdellovibrionota; Oligoflexia; Silvanigrellales. The record is from RNAcentral.
GACCCUUUCGUCUAGUCGGUCCAGGACAUCACCCUUUCACGGUGAAAACAUGGGUUCAAGUCCCGUAAGGGUCACCA